CAAGAAAUUUAGUUGACAAUAAUGCCCACUGCCCUUUCUCCUAUUCAUACUUGAGAAUCUUCAAACCCUCACGAUUAUUCUCCAUGGCAGCUCCAACCCCCAUGGAUUCUCUUGAAAACCAGUUGCAAAGCGGCCCCAAAGCUCUGCAAAAUUACCCAGUUCCACUGUCCCCACCAUUGCCAUCCAUAUCCAAGAAUAUAGAGUUGAAUAGGGCCUUGUCAGCUUCUUCAAAAUCAUCAAUUUUUUCUCUUAACAGAAAUGAUGUUCUUUUUGAAGAUGAGUGGCUUAUUGCUAUCAAUAAGCCUCAGGGAAUUUACUGUGAGAGUAUCCUAUCCGCUGUUCCUACUCUACUUAAGAAUGAUUCUAUUGACUCGGGAGAUCAAGUAAACUUGCCAGAACUCCAUCUGGCUAAUAGGCUUGAUCGUGAUACAAGUGGUGUUACAAUUAUCACCAAGUCACACAGAAUGGCUGCCAAGCUAGUAAAGGCUUUUACUAAACACGAGGUUAGGAAAACCUACAUUGCACGCUGCAUUGGUCCAGCUCCAGAAUGGGAAAAUAUCACUGUUAGAUCUGGUCAUGGUCGGUCAAAAUAUGGAGCCUGGCGUGUUUAUGCUGCAUCCGACGUUGGCCGGAAACUACCUGGUGGAUCAAUGGUUAGAGAUAUGGAAACUUUGUUUGAAGUUAUCUUGAUAAACGGGCAAGAUCGGUUGAAAAAAUUUUCAAGACCAGAAGAACAUGAAAAAAGAGUUACUGUUGUUGAAGAGAAAUCUGUAGUUGAUUGUGAUGCGGAGAAAGACGAGAUUCUGUUAAGAGCGUAUCCUAGGAGUGGAAGAACACAUCAAAUUCGUUUGCAUUGCCAGUAUCUUGGAAUUCCUAUAAGAGGCGAUGUGAAGUAUGAGGGUGUAUAUGAAUGGAAUGGUAGAACAUAUGACGGCCAUGAACUUCAUGCAGAAAGCUUGUCUUUCAUGCAUCCUGUUACAGCUCAGCCAGUUUUGAUUCAAGCCCCUUUGCCUUCGUGGGCAGCCCAAGAACUGGGUCCAGGAUUGUUAUGAAUGAGUAGUUGUACCGUUCGAGAAUGAAAAUUAUAAAGCUUUGCUGUUUGAUCAACAAUGUAGUUAGAAAUCAACUUCUUGACAUUUGGUGGAAGCAAGUGUGCAUCUUGCGAUUGAGAGUUGGAACAGGAAGCAAGAACCUUUCCUUUACACAGAGGAAAGUGAAAGUUUCUUAUAAUCGAAAUGAUUGCAAUGUGAAGCUGCAGUUUUCUUCAUACAGUAGUUCAUAUCGGUUGGUCGAGUUCUGAAACCAACCAUCAUGUGCCCUCAGGGCCGGAAAAAUAUAAAGAGUGACGAGGUUGAAGAUCCGUGAUGCACGACUUUUUAUUCAACGAACACUUCCACCAAGGCAUUGGCUUAAUUUUCUCAACCAAAAUGUGGUCAAGUUGGAAAUACAGAAGCUCCCAGUAUUCAAGUGUCAUUUUUUGGUGAAAACCUUGUGUAACUAUGAUGUACAGUGCGAAUUCAUUUUUACCCAGAAAGUUUGCAGCCCCAUUUCGAAGCACUUGGCAAAGCUAUGCUAAGCUCUUAAAAUCAAAUA
Olea europaea var. sylvestris is the source of this 1593-nucleotide RNA transcript. It is a transcript of the gene named RNA pseudouridine synthase 1, with no coding region annotated. The record is from RefSeq and is a predicted model, not a curated record. The transcript has 4 exons. NCBI's taxonomy places the organism in Eukaryota, Viridiplantae, Streptophyta, Magnoliopsida, Lamiales, Oleaceae.